ACCCAGUAUAGCUCAGUUGUUGGAGCACGAGACUCUUAAUUUCAGGGUUAUGGGUUUGAGACCCACGCUGGGCA
Molecule: non-coding RNA, 74 nt
Organism: Podarcis lilfordi (Lilford's wall lizard)
Lineage: Eukaryota; Metazoa; Chordata; Lepidosauria; Squamata; Lacertidae
Source: the annotation of a GenBank genome assembly